UGAGGAAUUUUGCGCAAUGGGGGAAACCCUGACGCAGCGACGCCGUGUGCGGGACGAAGGAGCUUUGCUCUGUAAACCGCUGUCGGGAGGGACUAAAAGCCUGUUAGACAGGCUGGGACCGUACCUCCAAAGGAAGGACCGGCUAACUACGUGCCAGCAGCCGCGGUAAUACGUAGGGUCCAAGCGUUGUCCGGAUUUACUGGGUGUAAAGGGUGCGUAGGCGGACUUGUGCGUCAGAGGUUAAAGACCCCGGCUUAACCGGGGAAGUGCCUUUGAUACGGCGAGUCUUGAGUAUAGAUGAGGAUGAUAGAAUUCCUGGUGUAGCGGUGAAAUGCGUAGAUAUCAGGAGGAAUACCGAAGGCGAAGGCAGUCAUCUAAUCUAUUACUGACGCUGAGGCAC
This 400-nucleotide ribosomal RNA is filed under the name uncultured bacterium. Its description in RNAcentral is "bacterial SSU rRNA". It matches the Rfam family "Bacterial small subunit ribosomal RNA", at positions 355 to 754 of the family's 1533-position model. The record is from RNAcentral.